This 253-nucleotide ribosomal RNA is filed under the name uncultured bacterium. RNAcentral describes it as "partial 16S ribosomal RNA". It matches the Rfam family "Bacterial small subunit ribosomal RNA", at positions 524 to 776 of the family's 1533-position model. The record is from RNAcentral.
UACGUAGGGUGCGAGCGUUGUCCGGAAUUAUUGGGCGUAAAGAGCUUGUAGGCGGUUUGUCGCGUCUGCUGUGAAAAUCCGGGGCUCAACCCCGGACUUGCAGUGGGUACGGGCAGACUAGAGUGUGGUAGGGGAGACUGGAAUUCCUGGUGUAGCGGUGAAAUGCGCAGAUAUCAGGAGGAACACCGGUGGCGAAGGCGGGACUCUGGGCCGAUACUGACGCUGAGGAGCGAAAGCGUGGGGAGCAAACAGG